This is a long non-coding RNA of Armigeres subalbatus, 334 nucleotides long. RefSeq lists it as uncharacterized. The record is from RefSeq and is a predicted model, not a curated record. The transcript has 4 exons. NCBI's taxonomy places the organism in Eukaryota, Metazoa, Arthropoda, Insecta, Diptera, Culicidae.
AAUUGUGCACUGCAGAGGCAGAAGAUGGUGUUUCGUUCAUCGUAAUUUGUUCGUGUUUUGAGAAGUUGAAGAUUAUUUCCUGUUCGCCGUUAAUCGUCCGUCUCCCGCACAGUAGGUGUGUUUGUUCCACUACUGUUGCUAACUCUAAUUAGAUCGCCGCGAGUCCGGAGGUAGAUGUUUGUCUGUUUAUACCCGGAAGGAAAACUAGAUUUUGAGUAUCGUUUGGAACAACAUACUGUGAAAUCGUUUUUCAUUCACUCCCGGAGGGCGUGAACAUAAGCUCAAAAUCUACCUGCCGUAGUAUGACGACAUACAAAUAGAGUAGAGUGGGGCA